Chroicocephalus ridibundus (black-headed gull) is the source of this 140-nucleotide small nucleolar RNA. RefSeq annotates it as small nucleolar RNA SNORA64/SNORA10 family. Lineage: Eukaryota; Metazoa; Chordata; Aves; Charadriiformes; Laridae. The transcript has a single exon. The record is from RefSeq and is a predicted model, not a curated record.
AAUCUCCCAAUCUGCGCGAUUGCACUUGUUUGAAGUAGUGUAAUUGUCGUAUAUGGAGAGAGAAAGAAACUUGAGUUUUGGGUGUGUAUAUCAGGGAGACCCUGCUAUGGUCUCCCUGUUCCUUCCUAAAUUCUACAUUU